Long non-coding RNA from Sinocyclocheilus grahami, 1906 nucleotides. Lineage: Eukaryota; Metazoa; Chordata; Actinopteri; Cypriniformes; Cyprinidae. The record is from Ensembl.
UGCCCAAAAGCUUUACUAUUCUGGUGGUUAAUUUUUUUUUUUAUACAUCUUUCUUUUAGUAUGUAGAGAGAUCAACAAUGAAGCCGCUGAGACUCUUCUGACCAUCGGGAACUCAGCUCAGAUGAUCCAGACAUCAGAAAUGCCCUGUACAAGUGAGAAAUAUCUUCAACCCUCUUAUUUGCUUCAAUCCAGAUUAACACUUUCCAUCAAAUCAAAUUUGAGAUCUUCCUUAGAUUAUUGAUUCAUUAAAAUCUUUUUCAGUUGGAAAUGAUAUAAUUGAACAGUCAAGCAUUGUACAUGAAGAGGUUGUCCAUGAGGAAGUUAUCACAGAAACAGCCGACGUUGAAUUUUCAAGCUAUGAAGCUUUUAUUCCAGAACCUUCUGCUGAAGAAACCCCCACCCAGAAUAAGGAACCUAUCAAAUCACAGACAACUGAAGAUCAUCCUUGUCCCAUUCAACAUGAGACACAGGUUCCACCAAGUAAAAGAGGUCGAUUCUCCAAACCCAAUAUUGGUCAAGAUCUGAGAACCAGACAGCAGCAAACCUGUCCAGAACUUGUCACAGGUUCUUUUGGGACCUCUAUGGGUCCAUCUUCCACAGAACAGGAUAGAAAUGCAGCAGAACCCAUGCAAGAAGACUGUGUUCCUGUGGAUCACCUGCCAGACUUCUCUACCGUCCACCCUGAGGUACUACAGCCGGAUCCAUCAUCUGAAAGAAGAGAAGACCGUCCCAAAGUCAUCCCUGAAAGAGUGAAUAAAGAAGAUAAUCGAUCUGUCUCAUCUUUGAAAAGAAAGAAUGAUGAUAUAAUCACAGAGGAAAAUAUAAAAGAACAAGAAGGGGCGAGAUUAGAACCACAGCUGACUAAAAGUGUGAGUGAGUCUCAGAGCACAUCAGAUGAGCCCUCUAAACCUGUCAGGAGGUGCCGCGGACCCAAACCUAAACCAAACCUGAUUCAGACAUCCAGGCGCACACAGACCACAACAGUAUUAAAUCAAAAGCAGCCUGCUGCCGAGUGGUCCACGAACACUUUCACUAAAAGUCCUGAAGAGGGUGCGGUAGUUACCACAGAACUUGAUGUAUUCACAAGCACAGCUCAACAUGUGGUGACAUCGAGCAUUGAAUCAGCACAGACCGUCAAAGAUGUCACCCUGCCAGUUGUUUCUGAAAACAAGUCCAGACAGAAAACUGUAGUCAUGCUGGAUGAGAACAACAGAACCAAUCCUGAGGAUGUUUUUGAAGACAGCACUUUGAAUCGUUCUGGAUGUGAAUCAGAAGACACAUCUGCUGAGCCCACGCCCGAGGAACCUGUGUUUAUACUGUCUCUCACAGAAAUCCCACCCACCUUAGAUGAGGGGGCGGACUUUCGGACAGAGCCCCUCCCACCUGCAGCAGCGCCCGAGUCGCAUUCUCAUGGUCAAAGUGCUAGUGAGAGCAGGGAGGCAUCUCACCUUCUGAUCACAGAUGCUUUAGUUCCUGUGUCAGAGGAUGAGGAAAAGAAAAGUGAAUGGAUGGGUGUGGGCAAAUCAGUGAAAGGAGAAUUGAAAUGCAAGACACCAGCCUCCACAUCUCAGGGGGUAAAACAAGCAUCUUGACUUUAAGCACUAUAAAUGCUUGAUAAAUGCUGAAAUGUGACUAAUGGUGAGGCCAUUUCCUUCCUAGAGUACCAUAGAUGAGAGUCGGGCAGAACAUCAUGGUGAGAAUAUUUGCAGCACAUCAUUAUACUCUAAAAAUGAGCAUAUAUGGCACAGAUUGUAACAUCUGUUCAUGCAUUGCACUGCCCUAUAACCCAAUUUCUUUAUGUGCUAGUAGUGGAAGGAUUGGAAAGCCUUGUAGCAGAGGGGACUGAUGAUAAGGAACAUCUGGAGAAGAAAAGAAAACUACCUGACAGUACAAGGAGAGGUAAAAG